Molecule: unclassified non-coding RNA, 148 nt
Filed under: soil metagenome
Description: partial internal transcribed spacer 1
Source: RNAcentral
CCGAGUUUACAACUCCCAAACCCCUGUGAACAUACCUAUACGUUGCCUCGGCGGAUCAGCCCGCGCCCCGUAAAACGGGACGGCCCGCCCAAGGACCCCUAAACUCUGUUUUUAGUGGAACUUCUGAGUAAAACAAACAAAUAAAUCA